AAGGUUAACCGAAUAGGGGAGCCGGAGGGAAACCGAGUCUUAAUUGGGCGUUAAGUUGCAGGGUAUAGACCCGAAACCCGGUGAUCUAGCCAUGGGCAGGUUGAAGGUUGGGUAACACUAACUGGAGGACCGAACCGACUAAUGUUGAAAAAUUAGCGGAUGACCUGUGGCUGGGGGUGAAAGGCCAAUCAAACCGGGAGAUAGCUGGUUCUCCCCGAAAGCUAUUUAGGUAGCGCCUCGUGAAUUCAUCUCCGGGGGUAGAGCACUGUUUCGGCUAGGGGGCCAUCCCGGCUUACCAACCCGAUGCAAACUGCGAAUACCGGAGAAUGUUAUCACGGGAGACACACGGCGGGUGCUAACGUCCGUCGUGAAGAGGGAAACAACCCAGACCGCCAGCUAAGGUCCCAAAGUCAUGGUUAAGUGGGAAACGAUGUGGGAAGGCCCAGACAGCCAGGAUGUUGGCUUAGAAGCAGCCAUCAUUUAAAGAAAGCGUAAUAGCUCACUGGUCGAGUCGGCCUGCGCGGAAGAUGUAACGGGGCUAAACCAUGCACCGAAGCUGCGGCAGCGACACUGUGUGUUGUUGGGUAGGGGAGCGUUCUGUAAGCCUGCGAAGGUGGCCUGUGAGGGUUGCUGGAGGUAUCAGAAGUGCGAAUGCUGACAUAAGUAACGAUAAAGCGGGUGAAAAGCCCGCUCGCCGGAAGACCAAGGGUUCCUGUCCAACGUUAAUCGGGGCAGGGUGAGUCGACCCCUAAGGCGAGGCCGAAAGGCGUAGUCGAUGGGAAACGGGUUAAUAUUCCCGUACUUGGUGUUACUGCGAAGGGGGGACGGAGAAGGCUAUGUUGGCCGGGCGACGGUUGUCCCGGUUUAAGCGUGUAGGUGUGUGUUCCAGGUAAAUCCGGUUCACUUUAACACUGAGGCGUGACGACGAGGCACUACGGUGCUGAAGCAACAAAUGCCCUGCUUCCAGGAAAAGCCUCUAAGCAUCAGGUAACAUCAAAUCGUACCCCAAACCGACACAGGUGGUCAGGUAGAGAAUACCAAGGCGCUUGAGAGAACUCGGGUGAAGGAACUAGGCAAAAUGGUGCCGUAACUUCGGGAGAAGGCACGCUGACACGUAGGUGAAGUGAUUUACUCAUGGAGCUGAAGUCAGUCGAAGAUACCAGCUGGCUGCAACUGUUUAUUAAAAACACAGCACUGUGCAAACACGAAAGUGGACGUAUACGGUGUGACGCCUGCCCGGUGCCGGAAGGUUAAUUGAUGGGGUCAGCGCAAGCGAAGCUCCUGAUCGAAGCCCCGGUAAACGGCGGCCGUAACUAUAACGGUCCUAAGGUAGCGAAAUUCCUUGUCGGGUAAGUUCCGACCUGCACGAAUGGCGUAAUGAUGGCCAGGCUGUCUCCACCCGAGACUCAGUGAAAUUGAACUCGCUGUGAAGAUGCAGUGUACCCGCGGCAAGACGGAAAGACCCCGUGAACCUUUACUAUAGCUUGACACUGAACAUUGAGCCUUGAUGUGUAGGAUAGGUGGGAGGCUUUGAAGUGUGGACGCCAGUCUGCAUGGAGCCGACCUUGAAAUACCACCCUUUAAUGUUUGAUGUUCUAACGUGGACCCGUUACCCGGGUUGCGGACAGUGUCUGGUGGGUAGUUUGACUGGGGCGGUCUCCUCCUAAAGAGUAACGGAGGAGCACGAAGGUUGGCUAAUCCUGGUCGGACAUCAGGAGGUUAGUGCAAUGGCAUAAGCCAGCUUGACUGCGAGCGUGACGGCGCGAGCAGGUGCGAAAGCAGGUCAUAGUGAUCCGGUGGUUCUGAAUGGAAGGGCCAUCGCUCAACGGAUAAAAGGUACUCCGGGGAUAACAGGCUGAUACCGCCCAAGAGUUCAUAUCGACGGCGGUGUUUGGCACCUCGAUGUCGGCUCAUCACAUCCUGGGGCUGAAGUAGGUCCCAAGGGUAUGGCUGUUCGCCAUUUAAAGUGGUACGCGAGCUGGGUUUAGAACGUCGUGAGACAGUUCGGUCCCUAUCUGCCGUGGGCGCUGGAGAACUGAGGGGGGCUGCUCCUAGUACGAGAGGACCGGAGUGGACGCAUCACUGGUGUUCGGGUUGUCAUGCCAAUGGCACUGCCCGGUAGCUAAAUGCGGAAGAGAUAAGUGCUGAAAGCAUCUAAGCACGAAACUUGCCCCGAG
This 2177-nucleotide ribosomal RNA is filed under the name Salmonella enterica subsp. enterica. RNAcentral describes it as "partial 23S ribosomal RNA". It matches the Rfam family "Bacterial large subunit ribosomal RNA", at positions 642 to 2803 of the family's 2925-position model. The record is from RNAcentral. Lineage: Bacteria; Pseudomonadati; Pseudomonadota; Gammaproteobacteria; Enterobacterales; Enterobacteriaceae.